CUGGAAAGGAAAUAGAGAUGCUAUUGUUCUAAUAGUUCAUUAUGCGAAUAGAAAAACUGAGACACAAAGAAAAAGUAACUUAGCUAAAGCUUUCAGUUAGUACAAAGUCAAAACUAAAACUAAGCUCCCUGAGUUCUUCACAGUGCUAUUUCUAUCACAUUGUGAAACUGAAGCGUCAUCUUCUCUUCCUGAGAAGACCAGUUUGCUAAUGCAAAGAGGGGACAAGACUUUCACAGCCCAAGGAGACUCUACCCAAACGUAAUGACUACACACGUCUGGAGCAGUGCCAGGAGCCAGCCCCAAACAAGAGCUCAUGUGACCAGUCUUCCUAAGUAGAGCUGAGCCUGCUGAUCCAGGGAGAGGUGGGCGGAACAGCUGGAUAUCUGCCUGGCUGAUUACUACGAAGCCCUGCCGUGCUGAACGUUCCCCAUCCCCAAGGAGAAGAGGAGGCCUAAGAGCAGGCAGCUCUGAAGGAAAGAGCAUUUAAGGACCUCAGCGUGAUGUGAUGUGUGGCAUGAUUUCCUUUCCCCAUCCAACCAGUUAGAUAAAUCACACCUUAUCCCAGGAGGAUGAGGAAGAAGGCACCGAAGGAGUGCAAAAGGAGUUUGCCCACUGUUUUGUCAAGAGAGUUGACGGCAUGGAGUUCAGAAAGCAGAUGCACCUUACAGGCUUCCAAAGGUGAUGAAACAACUGGAUUCAACUACUGUGUAAUCAACUGUGGUCAGACAAUUUUCUGCAUCUGCAAUAAGUCCUAUGAUGACUAUUCUAUGCAAAUCGACAGCUAUCAAAUUUCCCACCCAAAGUGUCUGUCCAGCUUUAUCCAAGCCACUUCUAGUCUCAGGCAAGCAUCUCGGAGCCUCCUUUAUCUUCCUGCUAUGACCCACUUGGUCCUUGACCCCUCAGGGCCCUGGUUUUUCUUUUAGAUCAGGCUUUAUUCCUACCCUAGGGAAGAUGAUCGGGCAAAGACAAUCUCAGUUUAUAGCUCUAUUUCAUUUCCAGCAGAUAUUAUGAUAGUUCUGCUCUGUCUCUAUUGAAUAAUCCUGAGUGAUGGUUUUGGAUUUUAAAAGGUUUUAAAGCUUUCCCAAUCGGUUAUAAGUUGUCAAACUCGAAAAAAAAUAUUGAGCUGAACAUAAAACAGAUGAAUGCUCUUAAAACAGAAGAAAAAGCAAUUACAUAACAUUACGUUUUGUAGAAAAUGAGGGAAGACUCUGUAAUGGAGAGUGGAAAAAAUACCUGUGCUUGCAUCGGGUAGAUACAAGUUCAAAUCCUAACUGUGCUUCUUAUUAGUAAUUUGACUUUGGACACUUCCUGGAGCCUCAGUCUCUUGCAUGCACAAUAAAUGUCAUAGAGCCAUUGCA
RNAcentral lists this long non-coding RNA (1358 nucleotides) under Sus scrofa (pig). Its description in RNAcentral is "lncRNA (ENSSSCG00060017489.1)". Lineage: Eukaryota; Metazoa; Chordata; Mammalia; Artiodactyla; Suidae. The record is from RNAcentral.